GCAUAGCCGAGUUGAGAGACUGAUCGGCCACAAUGGAACUGAGACACGGUCCAUACUCCUACGGGAGGCAGCAGUAGGGAAUCUUCCACAAUGGGCGCAAGCCUGAUGGAGCAACACCGCGUGAGUGAAGAAGGGUUUCGGCUCGUAAAACUCUGUUGUUGAAGAAGAACGUGCGUGAGAGUAACUGUUCAUGCAGUGACGGUAUUCAACCAGAAAGUCACGGCUAACUACGUGCCAGCAGCCGCGGUAAUACGUAGGUGGCAAGCGUUAUCCGGAUUUAUUGGGCGUAAAGCGAGCGCAGGCGGUUGCUUAGGUCUGAUGUGAAAGCCUUCGGCUUAACCGAAGAAGUGCAUCGGAAACCGGGCGACUUGAGUGCAGAAGAGGACAGUGGAACUCCAUGUGUAGCGGUGGAAUGCGUAGAUAUAUGGAAGAACACCAGUGGCGAAGGCGGCUGUCUGGUCUGCAACUGACGCUGAGGCUCGAAAGCAUGGGUAGCGAACAGGAUUAGAUACCCUGGUAGUCCAUGCCGUAAACGAUGAGUGCUAGGUGUUGGAGGGUUUCCGCCCUUCAGUGCCGCAGCUAACGCAUUAAGCACUCCGCCUGGGGAGUACGACCGCAAGGUUGAAACUCAAAGGAAUUGACGGGGGCCCGCACAAGCGGUGGAGCAUGUGGUUUAAUUCGAAGCUACGCGAAGAACCUUACCAGGUCUUGACAUCUUGCGCUAACCUAAGAGAUUAGGCGUUCCCUUCGGGGACGCAAUGACAGGUGGUGCAUGGUCGUCGUCAGCUCGUGUCGUGAGAUGUUGGGUUAAGUCCCGCAACGAGCGCAACCCUUGUUACUAGUUGCCAGCAUUCAGUUGGGCACUCUAGUGAGACUGCCGGUGACAAACCGGAGGAAGGUGGGGACGACGUCAGAUCAUCAUGCCCCUUAUGACCUGGGCUACACACGUGCUACAAUGGCCGGUACAACGAGCAGCUAACCCGCGAGGGUGUGCAAAUCUCUUAAAGCCGGUCUCAGUUCGGACUGCAGUCUGCAACUCGACUGCACGAAGUCGGAAUCGCUAGUAAUCGCGGAUCAGCAUGCCGCGGUGAAUACGUUCCCGGGCCUUGUACACACCGCCCGUCACACCAUGGAAGUUUGCAAUGCCCAAAGUCAGUGGCCUAACCAUUUUGGA
RNAcentral lists this ribosomal RNA (1174 nucleotides) under Limosilactobacillus panis. Its description in RNAcentral is "bacterial SSU rRNA". It matches the Rfam family "Bacterial small subunit ribosomal RNA", at positions 281 to 1447 of the family's 1533-position model. Lineage: Bacteria; Bacillati; Bacillota; Bacilli; Lactobacillales; Lactobacillaceae. The record is from RNAcentral.